RNAcentral lists this ribosomal RNA (565 nucleotides) under Craterium muscorum. RNAcentral's name for it is "SSU rRNA". It matches the Rfam family "Eukaryotic small subunit ribosomal RNA", at positions 28 to 536 of the family's 1831-position model. The record is from RNAcentral. Lineage: Eukaryota; Evosea; Eumycetozoa; Physariida; Physaraceae.
AUGCUUCUCCUAAAGACUAAGCCAUGCAUGUCUUCGAAUAAGAGGAAGCAAUUCUCUCUGAAUCUGCGAACGGCUCCGCAAACCAGUUGUAAACAAUAGCAAGCAAGCCCAGGCUGGGCCCUCACGGGCUUGGUCUGGGCAACACGGAUAACCCUGGUAAUUCUGAGGCUAAUACGACAACGCAACCCCUGGUCGACCGGGCAACUGGAAGGCUGGGAAGCGUGUACUAGAUCACGAGGAUGAAACCGGGAAAGGAUGCACGCUUGGACCGCGCUAAAAAGGAUCAGGUGACCGACCUCACGGAAGGGAUCCUGGCCCCAGCGGCUCUUGCAAUGUGCUUCUGACCUAUCAACUAGAUGGCAGCGUAACGGACAUGCUAUGGUGACAACGGGUACAGAGGAUUAGGGUUCGAUCCUGGAGAGUGGGCCUGAGAGAUUGCUCAUACUUCUAAGGAAGGCAGCAGGCGCGCAACGUUCCCCUUGGGCAAUGCCCGAGGGCGUUAGGGGACAUAUGAAUGCCUGCCCUAUGGGUGGGCAAUUCAAAUGGGUUUGUUCUAAACAGCCCU